UACGUAGGGUGCAAGCAUUAAUCGGAUUUAUUGGGCGUAAAGGGCGCGUAGGCGGGGAGGAAAGUUAAAUGUGAAAUCCCGGGGCUCAACCUCGGAACUGCAUUUAAAACUUCCUCUCUAGAGGAUAAGCGGAGAAAAUGGAAUUCCACGUGUAGCGGUGAAAUGCGUAGAUAUGUGGAGGAACACCGGUGGCGAAGGCGAUUUUCUAGCUUAGACCUGACGCUGAGGCGCGAAAGCAAGGGUAGCAAACAGG
This 253-nucleotide ribosomal RNA is filed under the name uncultured bacterium. RNAcentral's name for it is "partial 16S ribosomal RNA". It matches the Rfam family "Bacterial small subunit ribosomal RNA", at positions 524 to 776 of the family's 1533-position model. The record is from RNAcentral.